RNAcentral lists this long non-coding RNA (355 nucleotides) under Homarus americanus (American lobster). RNAcentral's name for it is "uncharacterized LOC121877229, transcript variant X3". Lineage: Eukaryota; Metazoa; Arthropoda; Malacostraca; Decapoda; Nephropidae. The record is from RNAcentral.
UUAAGGUUUAAGAUGAAGAGAUCAAGGUGUAGGAUGAAGAGAUUGAACUUUAGGUUAAAGAGAUCAAGGUGUAGGAUGAAGUGAUUAAGGUUUAAGAUGAAGAGAUCAAGGUGCAGAAUGAAGAGAUCAAGGUGUAGGAUGAAGAGAUUGAACUUUAGGUUAAAGAGAUCAAGGUGUAGGAUGAAGUGAUUAAGGUUUAAGAUGAAGAGAUCAAGGUGUAGGAUGAAGAGAUCAAGGUGUAGGAUGAAGUGAUUAAGGUUUAAGAUGAAGAGAUCAAGGUGUAGGAUGAAGAGAUCAAGGUGUAGGGUGAAGUGAUUAAGGUUUAAGAUGAAGAGAUCAAGGUGUAGGAUGAAGA